RNAcentral lists this ribosomal RNA (424 nucleotides) under uncultured bacterium. RNAcentral's name for it is "partial 16S ribosomal RNA". It matches the Rfam family "Bacterial small subunit ribosomal RNA", at positions 360 to 776 of the family's 1533-position model. The record is from RNAcentral.
AAUUUUGGACAAUGGGCGCAAGCCUGAUCCAGCCAGGCCGCGCGAGUGAAGAAGGCCNNNGGGUUNUCAAGCUCUUUCGGACGNAAGNAAAUCGCUCAUGCUAAUACCCUGCGCGGGUGACGGGAUCGUCAUAAGAAGCACCGGCCAGUUACGUGCCAGCAGCCGCGGUAAUACGUAGGGUGCGAGCGUUAAGCGGAAGUCUUGGGGUUAAGGCGUGCGCAGGUGGUUGAUUAAGGAAGACGUGAAAUCCCCGGGCUUAACCUGGGACCUGCGCUUGUGACUGGUCAGCUCGAGGACGGCAGAGGGGGGUGGAAUUCCACGUGUAGCAGUGAAAUGCGUAGAGAUGUGGAGGAACACCGAUGGCGAAGGCAGCACCCUGGGCCGAUACUGACGCUCAUGCACGAAAGCGUAGGUAGCAAACAGG